This 338-nucleotide unclassified non-coding RNA is filed under the name uncultured fungus. Its description in RNAcentral is "sequence contains ITS1". The stretch from base 1 to 104 matches the Rfam family "5.8S ribosomal RNA", at positions 50 to 154 of the family's 154-position model. The record is from RNAcentral. Lineage: Eukaryota; Fungi.
AAAGUGCGAUAACUCUGGUGAACUGCAACUGGCGCGAUUCCUUGAAACUUUGAACGCAAACUGUGCCCCGGCGUAACAGCCGGGGCGUGUUUGUUUGAGCGUCGCAUACAAAAACCUGCCGCCUCGCGCGCGCAACGAUGGGCUUUGCGGUUCGUUCCGCAUCGCUUCAAAUACAUUGGUAGGCUCACACGGUGUAACCUGCAUCAAACCAGUCGUUGUUGGGAAGGUAAAACUUCGUUUCGCGGUCGGUUUUUUCGCAACUUCCGGUGGGUCGUAACGCCAUUCUCUUGACUCAUUCUCUCGACCUCAAAUCAAGCACGAUUACCCGCUGAAUUUAA